RNAcentral lists this ribosomal RNA (492 nucleotides) under uncultured bacterium. RNAcentral describes it as "partial 16S ribosomal RNA". It matches the Rfam family "Bacterial small subunit ribosomal RNA", at positions 29 to 507 of the family's 1533-position model. The record is from RNAcentral.
AGUGAACGCUGGCGGUAGGCCUAACACAUGCAAGUCGAACGGCAGCACAGUAAGAGCUUGCUCUUACGGGUGGCGAGUGGCGGACGGGUGAGGAAUACAUCGGAAUCUACUUUUUCGUGGGGGAUAACGUAGGGAAACUUACGCUAAUACCGCAUACGACCUACGGGUGAAAGCAGGGGAUCUUCGGACCUUGCGCGAUUGAAUGAGCCGAUGUCGGAUUAGCUAGUUGGCGGGGUAAAGGCCCACCAAGGCGACGAUCCGUAGCUGGUCUGAGAGGAUGAUCCGCCACACUGGAACUGAGACACGGUCCAGACUCCUACGGGAGGCAGCAGUGGGGAAUAUUGGACAAUGGGCGCAAGCCUGAUCCAGCCAUACCGCGUGGGUGAAGAAGGCCUUCGGGUUGUAAAGCCCUUUUGUUGGGAAAGAAAAGCAGCAGGUUAAUACCCCGCUGUUCUGACGGUACCCAAAGAAUAAACACCGGCUAACUUCGUG